GCGCUGUCUAGUCUGUACUGACGCUGAGCUCGAGAGCAUGGGUAGCGAACAGGAUUAGAUACCUGGUAGUCCAUGCCGUAAACGAUGAGUGCUAAGUGUUGGAGGGUUUCCCCCUUCAGUGCUGCAGCUAACGCAUUAAGCACUCCGCUGGGGAGUACGACCGCAAGGUUGAAACUCAAAGGAAUUGACGGGGGCCCGCACAAGCGGUGGAGCAUGUGGUUUAAUUCGAAGCUACGCGAAGAACCUUACCAGGUCUUGACAUCUUCUGCCAAUCUUAGAGAUAAGACGUUCCCUUCGGGGACAGGAUGACAGGUGGUGCAUGGUUGUCGUCAGCUCGUGUCGUGAGAUGUUGGGUUAAGUCCCGCAACGAGCGCAACCCUUAUUAUCAGUUGCCAGCAUUAAGUUGGGCACUCUGGUGAGACUGCCGGUGACAAACCGGAGGAAGGUGGGGAUGACGUCAAAUCAUCAUGCCCCUUAUGACCUGGGCUACACACGUGCUACAAUGGAUGGUACAACGAGUUGCGAACUCGCGAGAGUAAGCUAAUCUCUUAAAGCCAUUCUCAGUUCGGAUUGUAGGCUGCAACUCGCCUACAUGAAGUCGGAAUCGCUAGUAAUCGCGGAUCAGCAUGCCGCGGUGAAUACGUUCCCGGGCCUUGUACACACCGCCCGUCACACCAUGAGAGUUUGUAACACCCAAAGUCGGUGGGGUAACCUUUAGGAACCAGCCGCCUAAGGUGGGACAGAUGAUUAGGGUGAAGUCGUAACAAGGUAACCA
Molecule: ribosomal RNA, 775 nt
Filed under: uncultured Lactobacillus sp.
Lineage: Bacteria; Bacillati; Bacillota; Bacilli; Lactobacillales; Lactobacillaceae
Description: bacterial SSU rRNA
Rfam family: Bacterial small subunit ribosomal RNA
Source: RNAcentral